CACUGCCGAGAAAAGCCUCUAGAUAGAAAAUAGGUGCCCGUACCGCAAACCGACACAGGUAGUCAAGAUGAGAAUUCUAAGGUGAGCGAGCGAACUCUCGUUAAGGAACUCGGCAAAAUGACCCCGUAACUUCGGGAGAAGGGGUGCUCUUUAGGGUUAACGCCCAGAAGAGCCGCAGUGAAUAGGCCCAAGCGACUGUUUAUCAAAAACACAGGUCUCUGCUAAACCGUAAGGUGAUGUAUAGGGGCUGACGCCUGCCCGGUGCUGGAAGGUUAAGAGGAGUGGUUAGCUUCUGCGAAGCUACGAAUCGAAGCCCCAGUAAACGGCGGCCGUAACUAUAACGGUCCUAAGGUAGCGAAAUUCCUUGUCGGGUAAGUUCCGACCCGCACGAAAGGCGUAACGAUUUGGGCACUGUCUCAACGAGAGACUCGGUGAAAUCAUAGUAC
RNAcentral lists this ribosomal RNA (446 nucleotides) under Staphylococcus aureus. RNAcentral's name for it is "partial 23S ribosomal RNA". It matches the Rfam family "Bacterial large subunit ribosomal RNA", at positions 1603 to 2050 of the family's 2925-position model. Lineage: Bacteria; Bacillati; Bacillota; Bacilli; Caryophanales; Staphylococcaceae. The record is from RNAcentral.